This 1432-nucleotide long non-coding RNA is filed under the name Salmo salar (Atlantic salmon). Its description in RNAcentral is "lncRNA (ENSSSAG00000102543.1)". Lineage: Eukaryota; Metazoa; Chordata; Actinopteri; Salmoniformes; Salmonidae. The record is from RNAcentral.
GUGAAAACUGUUAGCAAAAAAAGUGAACCGUUUUUAAAAAGAACAUUAAGAGCAUAAAAUGGAAUCUAAUUCAGAACACUUACAGAAUCAGAACUUUGUAUACACCAUGAGUUCUGCUCACACGGAGCUAGAGAAUUGAAAACGGGUCGACAGGGGAGGAGAGACCGACAAAGAAGAGGUUACGAUCUCUGGAGUGAGUUGUUUUUCACAGUGGUGGUGUUUUUUUCUGUGGUAACGUGUCUCUCUCUGAUCUCUGAGCGAGACCACCCCCUUAUUGUUCUCACAUUCAAAAGUAAAAAACACCACCAUUUUAGGACGUUUGGAGAGAAUGUGCAUCUGAAAUAGGGCACAGGAAUGGCACCCUAUUCCCUAUAUAGUGCACUACUUUUGACCAAGGCCCAUAGCACUAUGUAGGGAAUAGGGUGCCAUUUCAUGCACAGCCUGAGUGUCUCUUGAAAAGGAAGAAUGAUUGGUCAGUUGUGGUACACGAGUCUGUAUCAGAUGGCAGGAUAUCUUAUCAGCCAGUUCAGAAAGGGCUUUGGAUACAUUGUUGAUCCAGAUGCCAAGAGGAGAAAGGUGUGCUACUGGAGCUGAUAUUUUCUGAUACUGGAGAAGACAGCUCUCAGCCAUCACCAGUCAUACCUGGAGGAAGCAUAGAUAGCUGCAGAAGGCCAGAUGAAACCUUUCCCAGGGUGAAAGGAACAGAUGGGUCACAGUGGGUAAAGGAGGGGUACAUUACUGUAAACAACGGCAGUUGAAUUCACAUUGAGAAAUACCCCAAUACUGAAAAGCUAUAGGGGGUAGAGGCUAAGUGUCUAAGGCAGUGGUAUUCAAAGGCGAUGAUCGUGACCCCACUAAACAAAAAGUACGGAUUAUUGUAUGAGACCAUAUACAAACGUAUUUGAAAAAUACAAUUGAGUACAUUUAUUUAGUUUUUUUGUAAAUGUAAUGAAUUAAGGAUUAUUUGUUGAUGUACUAAUUUAAGGUUGUCAUUAUUUUUGGGGUGGGUUCAUGAGAAAAUGAACACACAAAAAAUAGGGUCCCUGCUAAAAAAAAGUUUGAAUACCACUGGUCUAAGGGGUUUAUUUGGGACAGGACAACUCCAGCAGACAGGACUGUUACUCUGCUUGUCCCUUUGUGUUGACUGACAGGGCUGCUGUCCAAUCAGCAGGCUCAGAACACCAGCACCUUCCAACCAGGGUGGGCUAAGGAGCAGCCAAAGAACAGGCAGUCCACCCCCUGGUCUAGCAGCCAAUCAAACACCACUUCCCGGUUCCCUGAGCCAAUCGUAACCCUCAGCUUGAAGUUGCCUCCGUCGCUAAGGUUGUUGUUGUUGCUAAUAGGAAGUAGGUUGACCACUUCCAUAUCAAAGGUCACAGCAGAGCCGAGGGUGAUAGAAGGCAGCUGGUUGGUCAUCUCUUUACCGUUGACA